This 1372-nucleotide ribosomal RNA is filed under the name uncultured bacterium. RNAcentral's name for it is "bacterial SSU rRNA". It matches the Rfam family "Bacterial small subunit ribosomal RNA", at positions 28 to 1381 of the family's 1533-position model. The record is from RNAcentral.
GAUGAACGCUGGCGGCGUGCCUAAUACAUGCAAGUCGAGCGAACGGACGAGAAGCUUGCUUCUCUGAUGUUAGCGGCGGACGGGUGAGUAACACGUGGAUAACCUACCUAUAAGACUGGGAUAACUUCGGGAAACCGGAGCUAAUACCGGAUAAUAUUUUGAACCGCAUGGUUCAAAAGUGAAAGACGGUCUUGCUGUCACUUAUAGAUGGAUCCGCGCUGCAUUAGCUAGUUGGUAAGGUAACGGCUUACCAAGGCAACGAUGCAUAGCCGACCUGAGAGGGUGAUCGGCCACACUGGAACUGAGACACGGUCCAGACUCCUACGGGAGGCAGCAGUAGGGAAUCUUCCGCAAUGGGCGAAAGCCUGACGGAGCAACGCCGCGUGAGUGAUGAAGGUCUUCGGAUCGUAAAACUCUGUUAUUAGGGAAGAACAUAUGUGUAAGUAACUGUGCACAUCUUGACGGUACCUAAUCAGAAAGCCACGGCUAACUACGUGCCAGCAGCCGCGGUAAUACGUAGGUGGCAAGCGUUAUCCGGGAUUAUUGGGCGUAAAGCGCGCGUAGGCGGUUUUUUAAGUCUGAUGUGAAAGCCCACGGCUCAACCGUGGAGGGUCAUUGGAAACUGGAAAACUUGAGUGCAGAAGAGGAAAGUGGAAUUCCAUGUGUAGCGGUGAAAUGCGCAGAGAUAUGGAGGAACACCAGUGGCGAAGGCGACUUUCUGGUCUGUAACUGACGCUGAUGUGCGAAAGCGUGGGGAUCAAACAGGAUUAGAUACCCUGGUAGUCCACGCCGUAAACGAUGAGUGCUAAGUGUUAGGGGGUUUCCGCCCCUUAGUGCUGCAGCUAACGCAUUAAGCACUCCGCCUGGGGAGUACGACCGCAAGGUUGAAACUCAAAGGAAUUGACGGGGACCCGCACAAGCGGUGGAGCAUGUGGUUUAAUUCGAAGCAACGCGAAGAACCUUACCAAAUCUUGACAUCCUUUGACAACUCUAGAGAUAGAGCCUUCCCCUUCGGGGGACAAAGUGACAGGUGGUGCAUGGUUGUCGUCAGCUCGUGUCGUGAGAUGUUGGGUUAAGUCCCGCAACGAGCGCAACCCUUAAGCUUAGUUGCCAUCAUUAAGUUGGGCACUCUAAGUUGACUGCCGGUGACAAACUGGAGGAAGGUGGGGAUGACGUCAAAUCAUCAUGCCCCUUAUGAUUUGGGCUACACACGUGCUACAAUGGACAAUACAAAGGGCAGCGAAACCGCGAGGUCAAGCAAAUCCCAUAAAGUUGUUCUCAGUUCGGAUUGUAGUCUGCAACUCGACUACAUGAAGCUGGAAUCGCUAGUAAUCGUAGAUCAGCAUGCUACGGUGAAUACGUUCCCGGGUCU